GAGUCAUCUGUAGACAAGAGGAUUUCUUAGGUACAUAUUCCUUCUUUUUGGUAAAAGAAGCUUUGAAGAGGUCACAGUUGCAAGUUUGUGAAUGUCAUUACAAAGGAAAUGACAGUUUAAACAGGGCAUCUGGACCAAGCUCUUUGCAACCUGCCAAGGCUCAGAGAACACUGUGGAAAAGGAGGCAGAAAGAUAUUAAGAGUUGGAGGAUGUGGAAGAGUUCUGUAAAAUGCUAUUUUCUAGACAUUACAUUGGUGGUGUAAUCAUGAACUUAACAACAGCUCUGGUCACCUGAACUGGACUAACAGGAAAGCCCAGAAUUUGUGCAUCUGGACAGCAUACGCAAUUCAGGAGUUCAUGCUGACUUACUGAAAUCCCAGAACCAGGAGCGUUUUUCACUUUUUUUUCCCUGUAAUUUAUUUUCUACACCUCAGGUUUCUGAAAACCAGGAACAGAUGGAGUAAUGCGGGCUCCUCAGAACAGACGGCAUACCAAACUGCCUAUGUUGAGGCAUGGGGCUCUCCUGUACUGCACAGCAGCCAUGGAAUAAUUUCCUCAGAUUCUACAUCGGAGUGAACUCUUGCAGAACUUAAAACCCUUAGCCUUUCCCUGGUCCCGUUAUCCACAACUGUUGAAAGACAUUCCUGGCUAAUCCUCCUGCACUAGGUAUUGUGAGGAACUAAUUCUAAAGACAAGUCAAACAUGAACAGAACUAGUAAUGUAAAAUGCCUGAAAUAUGCGUAUCUUAGAACUCUAAUUUUGAAGAAAAUGAGAAAAUAUUAAUAGAAGCACAGUGUUUAAGAGGGUAUAGAUUCUUAUUUCAAGCCAAUCUUGUUUUGUUGGCAUCUGCUUCAUCUUCUUGCUCCUAGUUGCUUCCUGGCCUGCCAUUCUUUUACCCUUAAAAUCAAGUUAGAAAAUGAAACUGUCUUUAGACAAAAGGAUGCUCUAAAAUGAAAUUCUGUUGAUGGAGGCUUCCAUGGUGCUGUUGAUGCAAAAGACUAGGUUGACACAUAGAAAUCAGUUUGCUGUGGGUGUUAGAACUAUGGGUUAUAAGGGAUUAAAGGUCCUUCUGUCUCUUGGUUCAUUAUUUCUAUUAUAUAUCAUGAAGUAUGGAAAUGUCAGUGGUAAAUUAC
Molecule: long non-coding RNA, 1133 nt
Organism: Mus musculus (house mouse)
Lineage: Eukaryota; Metazoa; Chordata; Mammalia; Rodentia; Muridae
Product: predicted gene, 39153
Exons: 3
Source: RefSeq, a predicted model, not a curated record